GCCCUGUGAUGAGACCAAGGCGAAUGUUAGCUCAUUGGAUAAGAGACCGAGCUCUCCUGUGUUCCUAUUGGCAGAUAAUCUUGGUUGAGCAGUAGAGUUCAGCUGCUUUGCUGUAAGGGCCUGCCUACAUUAAACAAGCCCCUCCUCCCCUUAAGCUCUCACUUUAGAGAUAUGAAUGAAAGGGAGAUGGAUAGGGUGGUCAUUGUGUUUGUUUGUGUGUGUGUGUGUGUGUGUGAGUGUGAGUGAGAGAACACAGGUCGAGACUCUGUUCUCUAUAAUGUCUAAUGGGCUAUGAGCUUGUUCUUUGGAAAUCUGAGGGCA
Small nucleolar RNA from Xyrauchen texanus (razorback sucker), 321 nucleotides. Lineage: Eukaryota; Metazoa; Chordata; Actinopteri; Cypriniformes; Catostomidae. The record is from RefSeq and is a predicted model, not a curated record.